AUUGAACGCUGGCGGCAGGCCUAACACAUGCAAGUCGAACGAGUGGCGGACGGGUGAGUAAUGUCUGGGAAACUGCCUGAUGGAGGGGGAUAACUACUGGAAACGGUAGCUAAUACCGCAUACCAUCGGAUGUGCCCAAAUGGGAUUAGAUAGUAGGUGGGGUAAAGGCUCACCUAGGCGACGAUCCCUAGCUGGUCUGAGAGGAUGACCAGCCACACGGGAACUGAGACACGGUCCAGACUCCUACGGGAGGCAGCAGUGGGGAAUAUUGCACAAUGGGCGCAAGCCUGAUACAGCCAUGCCGCGUGUAUGAAGAAGGCCUUCGGGUUGUAAAGUUCUUUCAGCGGGGAGGCGUUACCCGCAGAAGAAGCACCGGCUAACUCCGUGCCAGCAGCCGCGGUAAUUC
This 406-nucleotide ribosomal RNA is filed under the name uncultured bacterium. RNAcentral describes it as "partial 16S ribosomal RNA". It matches the Rfam family "Bacterial small subunit ribosomal RNA", at positions 30 to 526 of the family's 1533-position model. The record is from RNAcentral.